RNAcentral lists this ribosomal RNA (516 nucleotides) under uncultured bacterium. Its description in RNAcentral is "bacterial SSU rRNA". It matches the Rfam family "Bacterial small subunit ribosomal RNA", at positions 9 to 526 of the family's 1533-position model. The record is from RNAcentral.
GAGUUUGAUCCUGGCUCAGGAUGAACGCUGGCGGCGUGCUUAACACAUGCAAGUCGAACGGGAAUUACUUUAUUGAAACUUUGGUCGAUUUAAUUUAAUUCUAGUGGCGGACGGGUGAGUAACGCGUGGGUAACCUGCCUUAUACUGGGGGAUAACAGCCAGAAAUGACUGCUAAUACCGCAUAAGCGCACGGGACCGCAUGGUCCUGUGUGAAAAACUCCGGUGGUAUAAGAUGGACCCGCGUUGGAUUAGCUAGUUGGCAGGGCAGCGGCCUACCAAGGCGACGAUCCAUAGCCGGCCUGAGAGGGUGAACGGCCACAUUGGGACUGAGACACGGCCCAGACUCCUACGGGAGGCAGCAGUGGGGAAUAUUGCACAAUGGGGGAAACCCUGAUGCAGCGACGCCGCGUGAAGGAAGAAGUAUCUCGGUAUGUAAACUUCUAUCAGCAGGGAAGAUAAUGACGGUACCUGACUAAGAAGCCCCGGCUAACUACGUGCCAGCCGCCGCGGUAAUAC